Molecule: RNase P RNA, 394 nt
Filed under: Candidatus Dormiibacterota bacterium
Lineage: Bacteria; Bacillati; Candidatus Dormiibacterota
Description: RNase P RNA component class A
Rfam family: Bacterial RNase P class A
About the family: Ribonuclease P (RNase P) is a ubiquitous endoribonuclease, found in archaea, bacteria and eukarya as well as chloroplasts and mitochondria. Its best characterised activity is the generation of mature 5'-ends of tRNAs by cleaving the 5'-leader elements of precursor-tRNAs. Cellular RNase Ps are ribonucleoproteins.
Source: RNAcentral
GGUGGCGGGCAGAUGGUCGCGGCCGGAGACACCGGCCGAGGAAAGUCCGAGCUCCGCAGAGCAGGGCGCCGGGUAACACCCGGCGAGGGAAACCUCAGGGAGAGUGCCACAGAAAUGACACAGCCGGCGUCGGGCCGGCGAAGGUGAAAUGGUGGGGUAAGAGCCCACCGGCGGCCGGGUGACCGGCCGGCCAGGCAAACCCCGCUCGGAGCAAGACCCGGCAGGGUGCGGGUGCAGGCACCCACGGACGGCUCGUCCGCAGGCACCCGGGUGGGUCGCUGGAGGCGACGGGUGACCGUCGUCGUAGAUGGAUGGCCAUCGCCGCUGGGGGGGAGGCCCGCCGCGCGGGCGGCCCCAGCGGGCACAGAACUCGGCUUACCGCCCGCCGUACCAC